This 371-nucleotide ribosomal RNA is filed under the name uncultured bacterium. RNAcentral describes it as "bacterial SSU rRNA". It matches the Rfam family "Bacterial small subunit ribosomal RNA", at positions 527 to 896 of the family's 1533-position model. The record is from RNAcentral.
GUAGGUGGCAAGCGUUGUCCGGAUUUACUGGGCGUAAGGAGCGCGCAGGCGGUCGUUCAAGUCGCGUGUGAAAGCCCCCGGCUCAACUGGGGAGGGUCACGCGAUACUGAUCGACUCGAAGGCAGGAGAGGGAAGUGGAAUUCCCGGUGUAGUGGUGAAAUGCGUAGAUAUCGGGAGGAACACCAGUGGCGAAGGCGACUUCCUGGCCUGUUCUUGACGCUGAGGCGCGAAAGCUAGGGGAGCAAACGGGAUUAGAUACCCCGGUAGUCCUAGCCGUAAACGAUGGACACUAGGUGUUGGUGGUAUCAACCCCGCCAGUGCCGAAGCUAACGCAUUAAGUGUCCCGCCUGGGGAGUACGGCCGCAAGGCUA